AUUUGGUUGGGCGAAGCCUGACCGCAAUGCCGCGUGCAGGAAGAAGGCCUUCGGGUUGUAAACUGCUUUUGUACGGAACGAAACGGUCUGCCCUAAUACGGCGGGCUAAUGACGGUACCGUAAGAAUAAGCACCGGCUAACUACGUGCCAGCAGCCGCGGUAAUACGUAGGGUGCGAGCGUUAAUCGGAAUUACUGGGCGUAAAGCGUGCGCAGGCGGUUAUGUAAGACAGUUGUGAAAUCCCCGGGCUCAACCUGGGAAUUGCAUCUGUGACUGCAUAGCUAGAGUACGGUAGAGGGGGAUGGAAUUCCGCGUGUAGCAGUGAAAUGCGUAGAUAUGCGGAGGAACACCGAUGGCGAAGGCAAUCCCCUGGACCUGUACUGACGCUCAUGCACGAAAG
Molecule: ribosomal RNA, 399 nt
Filed under: uncultured bacterium
Lineage: Bacteria
Description: bacterial SSU rRNA
Rfam family: Bacterial small subunit ribosomal RNA
Source: RNAcentral